GGCUUAAUGGUCUAGUCGUAUGAUUGUCGCUUCGGGUUCAGCCCCAUGGGUGUAAAAGCCAUGAACUGUGACAGGGUAAGCUGGCGUCUUGUUUCCUCCACCUGGGCGAUGCUGACACGACAGUCCCGGGUUCAAAUCCCGGUUAAGCCC
Non-coding RNA from Exophiala xenobiotica, 150 nucleotides. The record is from the annotation of a RefSeq genome assembly. Lineage: Eukaryota; Fungi; Ascomycota; Eurotiomycetes; Chaetothyriales; Herpotrichiellaceae.